GAUACUACCUCCACCGCUUUGCAAUGGGUUCUGGCAAAUUUGGUGAAAUACCCUCAUAUUCAAGAUAAGUUAUUUCGUGAAAUUAAAGGGGUUGUGGGAGAUGGAGAGGAAAUCAAAGAAGAUGAUUUACAAAAGAUGCCUUAUCUGAAAGCAGUGAUAUUGGAAGGGCUAAGAAGGCACCCACCAGGGCAUUUUGUGCUUCCUCAUUGUGUGACAGAAGACACUGUGCUGGGAGACUAUUUGGUUCCCAAGAAUGGAACUAUCAAUUUCAUGGUGGCAGAGAUGGGAUGGGAUCCAAAGGUGUGGGAGGAUCCCAUGGCAUUUAAGCCAGAGAGGUUCAUGAGAAAUGAACAAGUGUUUGAUAUAACAGGGAGUAGGGAAAUCAAGAUGAUGCCUUUCGGUGUCGGGAGAAGAAUUUGUCCUGGAUUUGGCUUAGCCCUUCUUCAUCUGGAGUAUUUUGUGGCAAAUUUGAUCUGGAAAUUUGAAUGGAAGGCAAUGGAUGGAGAUGAGAUCAGCUUGGAAGAGAAGCAAGAGUUCACAGUGGUGAUGAAGACUCCAUUGAUGGCCCACAUUUCACCAAGGAAAGAGAUA
This 591-nucleotide long non-coding RNA is filed under the name Gossypium barbadense (sea-island cotton). RNAcentral describes it as "long non-coding RNA (GBAR_LNC014775)". The record is from RNAcentral. Lineage: Eukaryota; Viridiplantae; Streptophyta; Magnoliopsida; Malvales; Malvaceae.